GCCAGGCGCAGUGGUGGGUGCCUGUAAUCCCAGCUACUCGGGAGGCUGAGGCAGGAGAAUUGCUUGAACCCGGGAGGCGGAGGUUGCAGUGAGCUGAGAUCGUGCCACUGCACUCCAGCCCGGGUGACAGAGCCAGACCCUGUCUCAA
RNAcentral lists this non-coding RNA (148 nucleotides) under Pan troglodytes (chimpanzee). The record is from Rfam by way of RNAcentral. Lineage: Eukaryota; Metazoa; Chordata; Mammalia; Primates; Hominidae.